Molecule: ribosomal RNA, 253 nt
Filed under: uncultured bacterium
Lineage: Bacteria
Description: partial 16S ribosomal RNA
Rfam family: Bacterial small subunit ribosomal RNA
Source: RNAcentral
UACGUAGGUGGCAAGCGUUGUCCGGAUUUACUGGGCGUAAAGAGCUCGUAGGCGGUUUGUCGCGUCUGCCGUGAAAGUCCGGGGCUCAACUCCGGAUCUGCGGUGGGUACGGGCAGACUAGAGUGAUGUAGGGGAGACUGGAAUUCCUGGUGUAGCGGUGAAAUGCGCAGAUAUCAGGAGGAACACCGAUGGCGAAGGCAGGUCUCUGGGCCAUUACUGACACUGAGAAGCGAAAGCAUGGGGAGCGAACAGG